Molecule: ribosomal RNA, 239 nt
Filed under: uncultured bacterium
Lineage: Bacteria
Description: partial 16S ribosomal RNA
Rfam family: Bacterial small subunit ribosomal RNA
Source: RNAcentral
GGACGGGUGAGUAACGCGUGAGCAAUCUGCCUUAAACAAAGGGAUAGCCUCGGGAAACCGGGAUUAAUACCAUAUGAUAUCUAUUAACCGCAUGGUUUAUAGAUUAAAGAAUUUCGGUGUAAGAUGAGCUCGCGUCCCAUUAAUUAGUUGGUGAGGGUAACGGCCCACCAAGAUAGCGAUGGGUAGCCGAUCUAAGAGGAUGACCGGCCACAUUGGGACUGAGACACGGCCCAGACUCC